AUAAUUUGCAGGUACCGGAUAAGAAACAGGUUAACCUUUAAUAAAUCCAAUUAUGAAAUUAAUUAGAGCGCGAUCCGGCCUCGCCUCCGUACGCGAUAAUUUAGAUUUCGCUCGAGUUUCAUGCAGAGUCGAUAAGUACGGAACCUGUACGUAACCUGCGCCAUCGAAUUGUUUCGCAAGCACACACACACACACACACACACACAAAUACCAACACACAUGAACAUAAAGGUGAUACGAAGCGAACGUUGAGACAAAUAUACGCUUUCGUGAAACAGAACUCCGCAGAGAAGCAGGCAUGAUCACCAGUAAACCUGGCUUUUGUGAAAAGGUUAAAAAAAAGAGGAAAAAAGUGAAAAUGAGGAAAAAAAAGGGAAAAACGUAAGGUACACCAAAAAACAUAGGAUUUAGAUUAGUGUGAUACAAGUUUUGUAGAAACGCUGAGAAGAUUCGCCACUUCAGAAAUGAAAAACCAAAAAAAAAAAAAAAAAAAAAUUGAAAAACGCUGUCUUGGGAUCAAGGAUAUAACGACGAAGGUCAGGAAAGACCAGGAUCCAAUUUACGCAUAUGCGGGCACGCGUUAUUUUUCAUUGGAACACACCACAGGAA
Habropoda laboriosa is the source of this 609-nucleotide long non-coding RNA. RefSeq lists it as uncharacterized. The transcript has 3 exons. The record is from RefSeq and is a predicted model, not a curated record. NCBI's taxonomy places the organism in Eukaryota, Metazoa, Arthropoda, Insecta, Hymenoptera, Apidae.